Molecule: long non-coding RNA, 3662 nt
Filed under: Taeniopygia guttata (zebra finch)
Lineage: Eukaryota; Metazoa; Chordata; Aves; Passeriformes; Estrildidae
Description: lncRNA (ENSTGUG00000021217.1)
Source: RNAcentral
CGGGAAGGCUGGAGGAGCUCAGACCCCUCCGGGGCUCAAACAGGACUGGGGCCAUGAGCCUUUGGAGGAGCCUGGUGGGAGGAGGGACGAGUGGGUCAAGAGCUUCCUCCCUAACACAGAAACACCCAGGUCCAAGUGUGUGUUCUUUGCAACUUUUUUUCCUUUAUAGAAUCAUACAAUGUUAAGAAGUUGGAAUAGACCUUAAAGAUCAUUCUGUCCCGAGCCCUCUUGCCACAAACAGGGACACCUCCCACUAGAACAGACUGCUCAAGGCUUUAUCCAAACUGGCUUUAAACACUUCCAGGGCCGGGACAACUACAGCCUCCCUGGGCAACAUGUUCCAGUGUCGCACCACCCCCACAGUGGAAGAAGCCUUUGGUUUUGGGUCAUAUUUUGCAGCCCCUGCCUGCGUUUGCUGCCGGGUGAGAUGAAGGUGUCUGAGAGAGUGCGAGCUGGUGACGGACCCUGGGCAUCGCACCCGCCAUCAGGAGAGCGGGAGGGAGCUGUGCAGCCGGGGCUGGCACACCAAAGGAGGCCUGAAACUGCCACAUGAAUAUUGUCUGUUCCCUUAAGUCCAGCCCGUCACGGAAUCCCCGCGGCCUUUGAGCCGCGCUCCGCCGCACCCGCCCCGCCGGGGGCUCCCUGAGGGGGCGCGGCGCCAUCUUGGCGGGCGGGCCGGGGCGAGGCCUCGGCGCAGGGCGACACCUGCCGGCGGCGGUGGGCAGCGCGGCCGCUCCCGCUGUGCCCGCGCACCGAGCUCCGCGCACCGAGUCCCGUGCCAUUCGAGCUCCGCGCACCGAGCUCCGCGCACCGAGUCCCGUGCCAGCCGAGCUCCGCGCACCGAGUCCCGUGCCAGCCGAGCUCCGUGCCAACCGAGCUCUGCGCACCGAGUCCUGUGCCAGCCGAGCUCCGCGCACGGAGUCCCGUGCCAGCCGAGCUCCGCGCACCGAGCCCCGUGCCAUUCGAGCUCCGCGCAUCGAGUCCCGGGCCAGCCGAGCUCCGCGCACCGAGCCCCGUGCCAGCCGAGCUCGGUACUCAGCCAGCUCCGGCCCCUCUUCCGACCCUCGGACAGCCUGGAUGUGUGGCCACAGAUGCCAGGAGAAGAUGAGGUGAGAGGAGCCCAAGUGGCUUCUUCAGGGAUCCUUGCCUUCCAAGGGGCGAUGAGGAACAGCUGUAUCUGGCCCCAGGGAAGAUCACAACUCCUGGUACUCAUAAAAUCCAAGUCCCCACCACGUUGCCUUCCACUCUGGCUCUUCUGCAGAAAUCCCCAGGAGUAGAAACCUCAUUGCGCAGUCCUCAGGGAUUCCUACAGUUUUAUUUGCUCCUCCAGGGAAAAGCGAGGAAGUCUGAGCCACGAAGGAAGGUGUGGAUCACCCCGCCCAGCUCCUGCUGACCUAGAGGUCCCUCUGCUCUUGCUGUCCUCAGCCUGUCCCCUUGCACAGCCGAGGGGCUGGCUGCACACCAGCCGGAGGGGGAGCACAAAGGCUCUCCCAUCCCGGCCGCUGGAAAGCAGCAUGGGAACCGCUGCCCAGCGCGGAUCUGUUCCUCAUUAUCCGCCCCGGCUGCCUGAGCCCGGCUCCGUCCCGCCCGCUCGCAUCCCGCCGGCCGAGCGGCUCCUGCGCACCUGGGGUCCGCAUCCCCCUGCGGAUAACCCAGCGGGAAAACGAGUUAUUCCCUUCCCACCAGGCAGAGGAGGCUUCCAGGGAGCAGGGAUCGCUGCUUCAGGUGCGAAGAGCGGGAAGGAAAACACAGAAUUCAGUGUUUGGUCUGAUUGCAGGUGGGAUGGACGGAUGGACAUGAGGAGGCAGGAGCAAGGAACAGACUGAUGUGUCUCCGAAAUAUUUGUACCAGAUACAACCAAACUGAACACCUCUUCUGAAUUCUUCUGCAUUUGCCUUCCUGCUGCUCUCCAUGAGAACAUGAGCGUGGCCAAAGCCUCUGCCAUGCUUUGUGUGAGAGGUGAGGAGCUGGCUCCUAGUCACCCACUUCCCCCUGCUUCUGCCUGUAUAGAGCAGUGUGAAAACCUCCCAAGAGGGUGUCAGAAGUGCUCCAGAAACAGAGCAGGAUCAGCAACGACACAUGUAAGUCAACUGCACCCUUGCUGCAGUGGAGAAUGUGAAGCUGGCAGGUCCAAGAAAAUUAUUAUUUCUUGGAUUUGGUGCCUGUGAGACACAAGUGGGUGCUAGUUCCAAUUGGGGGCUUCCCAAAAGAACAUAUAUAUUUAUACAUAUAUACAUGUAUAUAUGUCAGAGAGAACCAGCUGUAAGAAGAUAAGGCAGAGGAGAGCUACCAACAAGGUGGCACACAGAAGCCCAACUAUUCCCAGAGAAGCACUUGGAAGAACAAGACAACCUGCCCCAGGGGAAAUAUUUACUGAGCACAAGGAGAAAUUAAUUCUGUGCAAGACUGCUGUAGCUGUGGUGUGGCUUUGGGAUGGGGACAGUUGACACCUCCAUCCUCAGGGACAUUCCAAAUCCAGUGGGACAGGGCUCCGAGCUACCUGGUCUAGCUUUGCUACCAGCCCUGCAUGGAGCUGGGAUUGGACCAUGGGCUUCCCAAGCCCCUUCCAGUCUGAAAUUUACCUGAUGCUCCAAUGUGCAUUGUGCAAAAGCAAUGUGGUGAUUUUAAGACUCACUUGUGAGAUGGCCAAGAUCAAUCCCUCUUCCACACAGCUGAUGUCAGAUCUGCCUUACAUCCCCUGCUGACUUCACAAGUUUUGCUACCACAGAGGAACUGGAGGAGCUGAGUGCUGGAGAAAGCAAAUGCCUGUGGGAAAAAAGUGUGGGUUUAAUGGCAGGCUUUAAACAGAAGCCUGGGUGCAAAAUGAUAUGUCUGUGAUAGUCUGCCCUGGGAUGGGGUUGCUGACAGUCACAGUUGGAGGGUUGUGUGUUCUGGGUUAGAGUCUGACAAGCAGCUCCUGUGGCUGUGCCUUACUCUGUCCUGGAGAAGCAGAAGUUUGGGCACAUGCAUUCGUGGUUUGGCCCACUCUUCAUGUUUUUCCACUGAAGCACUUCAGUAUUUUUAGGCUGAAAGAGAGGACUCUGCUAUGCUGGAAGGACCAGAGCAGUUCUGUGCAGGCAGGACACUCCAAGGUGAAGUACAAGACUAAAAACCAGCCAGGAGCCACCAUCCCUGCUCACAACAAGGUGGUGUUGAGGGUGGGAAGAAGGGGCUCCAAGCUGCUGGCUGGUGGCAUGGAGAGCCUGCACACACAUCACUGCUAGGCUCAGAUGUCUGGAUGAGAGAGCAGCAACCAGCCCCAGCAUUUCCUGAAGCUGAGAUGUCUGCUUUCCCUCCUCUGAGGACCUGGAGGACGCAGACCCACCUCUUCCAGGAAAGCACCUGGCCCACACAGCCUGGUGUGCUGCCAAGGUGAUUGUUGCAGGCGAUGCUGGCACUGGGGCCCAGCACACAGAGCACAGCUCAGCCAGCAGCGUUGGUGGUGGAUGCAAGGCAGAUGGGGAAUGUCACAAGAACCAAGAGCUUCCAGAGGGCCCAGUGCAAGCUAACAGGGCCAGAAGCUGUAUUUGACCCUGCCAAAAAGAACCAGGGGUUGAUGGUGGAUGCCAGGUUCAAUACAAGCCAAACAUCUGCCUUGUGAAUCAAGGAAACCACAUUUAAUUUCCUUCAGGAAAAGCAGAGCCCAGGAGAUCAAAGGGAAG